UCCCCGAGGGCUCAGAGAGUAAAGCAUCUGCCUGCAAUGCAGGAGACCCAGGUUCGAUCCCUGGUUCUGGAU
RNAcentral lists this transfer RNA (72 nucleotides) under Bos taurus (domestic cattle). It matches the Rfam family "tRNA". From Rfam's summary of the family: Transfer RNA (tRNA) molecules are approximately 80 nucleotides in length. Lineage: Eukaryota; Metazoa; Chordata; Mammalia; Artiodactyla; Bovidae. RNAcentral also lists the same sequence under 1 other name. The record is from Rfam by way of RNAcentral.